GACGAACGCUGGCGGCGUGCCUAAUACAUGCAAGUAGAACGCUGAAGCGAGGAGCUUGCUCUUCUUGGAUGAGUUGCGAACGGGUGAGUAACGCGUAGGUAACCUGCCUUGUAGCGGGGGAUAACUAUUGGAAACGAUAGCUAAUACCGCAUAACAAUGUAUGACACAUGUCAUUUAUUUGAAAGGGGCAAUUGUUCCACUACAAGAUGGACCUGCGUUGUAUUAGCUAGUAGGUGAGGUAAUGGCUCACCUAGGCGACGAUACAUAGCCGACCUGAGAGGGUGAGCGGCCACACUGGGACUGGGACACGGCCCAGACUCCUACGGGAGGCAGCAGGAGGGAAUCUUCGGCAAUGGGGGCAACCGUGACCGAGCAACGCCGCGUGAGUGAAGAAGGUUGUCGGAUCGUAAAGCUCUGUUGUAAGUCAAGAAUGGGUGGGAGAGUGGAAAGUUCACACUGUGACGGUAGCUUACCUGAAAGGGACGGCUAACUACGUG
This 497-nucleotide ribosomal RNA is filed under the name uncultured bacterium. RNAcentral's name for it is "partial 16S ribosomal RNA". It matches the Rfam family "Bacterial small subunit ribosomal RNA", at positions 28 to 507 of the family's 1533-position model. The record is from RNAcentral.